RNAcentral lists this ribosomal RNA (422 nucleotides) under uncultured archaeon. Its description in RNAcentral is "partial 16S ribosomal RNA". It matches the Rfam family "Archaeal small subunit ribosomal RNA", at positions 323 to 746 of the family's 1478-position model. The record is from RNAcentral.
CUACGGGCCGCUGCAGUUAGGUAUAAUCUACAAUGCGCGAAAGCGUGAUAGUUUGAAUCAGAGUGCUUUGCUUUGCAAAGCUUUUGUGAAAUUUAAAAUGUUUUACGAAUAAGGACUGGGUAAGACUAGUGGCCAGCCGCCGCGGUAAUACUCAGCGGUCCAAGUCGCAGCCAUUUUUAUUGGGUCUAAAACAUCCGUAGCUUGCUUCUUAAGUUCCUUGUGAAAUCUUAUAUCUCAAAUGUAGGGCGCGCAAGGAGUACUGGGAAGCUAGAGACUGGGAGACGUAAAGAGUACGUUUGAGGUAGCGGUAAAAUGUGUUAAUCUUAAACGGACUAACAAUAGCGAAGGCACUUUACGAGAACAGUUCUGACAGUAAGGGAUGAAGGCCAGGGGCGCAAAACGGAUUAGAUACCCUCGUAGUC